This 253-nucleotide ribosomal RNA is filed under the name uncultured bacterium. Its description in RNAcentral is "partial 16S ribosomal RNA". It matches the Rfam family "Bacterial small subunit ribosomal RNA", at positions 524 to 776 of the family's 1533-position model. The record is from RNAcentral.
UACGUAGGGUGCGAGCGUUGUCCGGCAUUACUGGGCGUAAAGCGCGCGUAGGCGGCUUUGCAAGUCGGGUGUGAAAUCCCCAGGCUCAACCUGGGAACUGCAUUCGAGACUGCAUUGCUAGAGUAUGGGAGAGGGAAGUGGAAUUUCCGGUGUAGCGGUGAAAUGCGUAGAUAUCGGAAGGAACAUCAGUGGCGAAAGCGACUUCCUGGACCAAUACUGACGCUCAUGUGCGAAAGCGUGGGGAGCAAACAGG